UGGUUCAGACGGUAGAGCGCUCAGAUCGCAUGCGUGAGGUCAUUGGUUCGAGUCCCGGCUU
RNAcentral lists this transfer RNA (61 nucleotides) under Heterosigma akashiwo. Lineage: Eukaryota; Raphidophyceae; Chattonellales; Chattonellaceae. The record is from RNAcentral.